UCUCCUACGGGACGCAGCAGUGAGGAAUAUUGGUCAAUGGGCGGAAGCCUGAACCAGCCAAGUCGCGUGAGGGAAGAAGGCCCUGCGGGUCGCAGACCUCUUUGGACGGGGAGCAAGGCCGCCGACGUGUCGGCGGAAGGAGAGUACCCGUAGAACAAGCAUCGGCUAACUCCGUGCCAGCAGCCGCGGUAAUACGGAGGAUGCGAGCGUUAUCCGGAUUUAUUGGGUUUAAAGGGUGCGCAGGCGGCGUGGCAAGUCUGAAGUGAAAGGUACGGGCUCAACCUGUACAGGCUUUGGAAACUGCC
Molecule: ribosomal RNA, 305 nt
Filed under: uncultured bacterium
Lineage: Bacteria
Description: bacterial SSU rRNA
Rfam family: Bacterial small subunit ribosomal RNA
Source: RNAcentral